This 69-nucleotide transfer RNA is filed under the name Rattus norvegicus (Norway rat). It matches the Rfam family "tRNA". From Rfam's summary of the family: Transfer RNA (tRNA) molecules are approximately 80 nucleotides in length. Their secondary structure includes four short double-helical elements and three loops (D, anti-codon, and T loops). Further hydrogen bonds mediate the characteristic L-shaped molecular structure. tRNAs have two regions of fundamental functional importance: the anti-codon, which is responsible for specific mRNA codon recognition, and the 3' end, to which the tRNAs corresponding amino acid is attached (by aminoacyl-tRNA synthetases). tRNAs cope with the degeneracy of the genetic code in two manners: having more than one tRNA (with a specific anti-codon) for a particular amino acid; and 'wobble' base-pairing, i.e. permitting non-standard base-pairing at the 3rd anti-codon position. Lineage: Eukaryota; Metazoa; Chordata; Mammalia; Rodentia; Muridae. The record is from Rfam by way of RNAcentral.
GGGGAUUUAGCUCAAUUGUAGAGCGUUUGCCUAGCAAGCGCAAGGCCCUGGGUUCGGUCCCCAGCUCCG